RNAcentral lists this transfer RNA (31 nucleotides) under Moraea macrocarpa. Its description in RNAcentral is "partial tRNA-Phe". Lineage: Eukaryota; Viridiplantae; Streptophyta; Magnoliopsida; Asparagales; Iridaceae. The record is from RNAcentral.
UAGCGGUAAAAGGUUGGGAUAGCUCGUUGGA